AUGCACGCUGGCGGCGUGCUUAACACCUGCACGUCGAACGAUGAAGCCCAGCUUGCUGGGUGGAUUAGUGGCGAACGGGUGAGUAACACGUGAGUAACCUGCCCUUAACUCUGGGAUAAGCCUGGGAAACUGGGUCUAAUACCGGAUAGGAGCGUCCACCGCAUGGUGGGUGUUGGAAAGAUUUAUCGGUUUUGGAUGGACUCGCGGCCUAUCAGCUUGUUGGUGAGGUAAUGGCUCACCAAGGCGACGACGGGUAGCCGGCCUGAGAGGGUGACCGGCCACACGGGGACUGAGACACGGCCCAGACUCCUACGGGAGGCAGCAGUGGGGAAUAUUGCACAAUGGGCGAAAGCCUGAUGCAGCGACGCCGCGUGAGGGAUGACGGCCUUCGGGUUGUAAACCUCUUUCAGUAGGGAAGAAGCGAAAGUGACGGUACCUGCAGAAGAAGCACCGGCUAACUACGUG
This 465-nucleotide ribosomal RNA is filed under the name uncultured bacterium. RNAcentral describes it as "partial 16S ribosomal RNA". It matches the Rfam family "Bacterial small subunit ribosomal RNA", at positions 29 to 507 of the family's 1533-position model. The record is from RNAcentral.